Molecule: small nuclear RNA, 24 nt
Filed under: Arabidopsis thaliana (thale cress)
Lineage: Eukaryota; Viridiplantae; Streptophyta; Magnoliopsida; Brassicales; Brassicaceae
Description: snRNA_12490
Source: RNAcentral
AAACUAAAGGAAACAUAAAGUCAU